UGCAGAAUCCCGUGAACCAUCGAGUCUUUGAACGCAAGUUGCGCCCGAUGCCAUUAGGUUGAGGGCACGUCUGCCUGGGCGUCACAUAUCGAAGCCUCUUGCCAAUUUCCUUUUGAUAGGUAUUGUGCGUGGGGAAUGUUGGCCUCCCGUGAGCUCCAUUGUCUCAUGGUUGGUUGAAAAUCGAGACCUUGGUAGGGUGUGCCAUGAUAGAUGGUGGCUGUGUUACGCACGAGACCAAAUCAUGUGCUGCUCUAUUGAAUUUAGCUUCUUUUACCCACAUGCGUUUCUAAACGCUCGUGAUGAGACCUCAGGUCAGGCGGGGCUACCCGCUGAAUUUAAGCAUAUCAAUAAGCGGAGGAAAAGAAACUAACAAGGAUUCCCUUAGUAACGGCGAGCGAACCGGGAUAAGCCCACCAUGAGAAUCGGUCGCCCUCGGCGUUCGA
This 443-nucleotide ribosomal RNA is filed under the name Trifolium fragiferum. RNAcentral's name for it is "eukaryotic LSU rRNA". The stretch from base 303 to 443 matches the Rfam family "Eukaryotic large subunit ribosomal RNA", at positions 1 to 141 of the family's 3401-position model. The record is from RNAcentral. Lineage: Eukaryota; Viridiplantae; Streptophyta; Magnoliopsida; Fabales; Fabaceae.